UGCAACACCGACAGGUUAUCGUCUACAGCAGGACACACCACAGUAGGCGUCAAGUGUUCAUCAAGUCCAGCUCCACCUGAAUAUGACUUCUUUUUACGAGAGACAAGAAACAACAAACUAUCGAAGACGAAUAUCGACACAAUGAGUGGUAUAGUAGAUAUGAAUACAGCUUGCAUCUCCGCCAUCGACGGCAGUGUUGUGUAUGAUUCUUUGUAUGACCAGGUCAUUUACUUCAAGGAUUCUUCUUUUUGGGGCUGUAGAUGGGGAGUCGGAAAGAACCUAAUACACGCGUUUGCGUCUGGAGUAUCAAUACACCAAUUCGCCUUGGACAAAGAAGAGCGUCUUUUGUUUUAUUAUUUGGAUGGUACGAUAUCGG
Long non-coding RNA from Ylistrum balloti, 376 nucleotides. RefSeq lists it as uncharacterized. NCBI's taxonomy places the organism in Eukaryota, Metazoa, Mollusca, Bivalvia, Pectinida, Pectinidae. The record is from RefSeq and is a predicted model, not a curated record. The transcript has 3 exons.